UCUCCGUUGGUGAACCAGCGGAGGGAUCAUUACAGAGUUGCAAAACUCCCAAACCAUUGUGAACGUUACCUCUCCCGUUGCGUCGGCGGGCGGCCCGGGCCCCGCGCCCGGCGCCCCCCGGCCCCCCGUGGGCGCCGGCCGGAGGUAAACCAAACCCUUGAAUUGAAUGGCCUCUCUGAGUCUUCUGUACUGAAUAAGUCAAAACUUUCAACAACGGAUCUCUUGGUUCUG
This 231-nucleotide unclassified non-coding RNA is filed under the name plant metagenome. RNAcentral describes it as "partial contains small subunit ribosomal RNA, internal transcribed spacer 1, and 5.8S ribosomal RNA". The record is from RNAcentral.